GAUGAACGCUGGCGGCGUGCCUAAUACAUGCAAGUCGAGCGAACAGACGAGGAGCUUGCUCCUCUGACGUUAGCGGCGGACGGGUGAGUAACACGUGGAUAACCUACCUAUAAGACUGGGAUAACUUCGGGAAACCGGAGCUACUACCGGAUAAUAUAUUGAACCGCAUGGUUCAAUAGUGAAAGACGGUUUUGCUGUCACUUAUAGAUGGAUCCGCGCCGCAUUCGCUAGUUGGUAAGGUAACGGCUUACCAAGGCGACGAUGCGUAGCCGACCUGAGAGGGUGAUCGGCCACACUGGAACUGAGACACGGUCCAGACCACUACGGGAGGCAGCAGUAGGGAAUCUUCCGGAAUGGGCGAAAGCCUGACGGAGCAACGCCGCGUGAGUGAUGAAGGUCUUCGGAUCGUAAAACUCUGGUAGGAGGGAAGAACAAAUGUGUAAGUAACUAUGCACGUCUUGACGGUACCUAAUCAGAAAGGCACGGCUAACUACGUU
This 497-nucleotide ribosomal RNA is filed under the name uncultured bacterium. RNAcentral's name for it is "partial 16S ribosomal RNA". It matches the Rfam family "Bacterial small subunit ribosomal RNA", at positions 28 to 507 of the family's 1533-position model. The record is from RNAcentral.